GUGCCAGCCGCCGCGGUAAUACCGGCAGCCCAAGUGAUGGCCGAUCUUAUUGGGCCUAAAGCGUCCGUAGCUGGCUUCGCAAGUCCGUCGGGAAAUCCAUCAGCCCAACUGAUGGGCGUCCGGCGGAAACUACACGGCUUGGGACCGGAAGGCUCGAGAGGUACGUCCGGGGUAGGAGUGAAAUCCCGUAAUCCCGCACGGACCACCGAUGGCGAAAGCACUUCGAGAAGACGGCUCCGACAGUGAGGGACGAAAGCCAGGGUCUCCAACCGGAUUAGAUACCCGGGUAGUCC
This 293-nucleotide ribosomal RNA is filed under the name uncultured bacterium. RNAcentral describes it as "partial 16S ribosomal RNA". It matches the Rfam family "Archaeal small subunit ribosomal RNA", at positions 455 to 747 of the family's 1478-position model. The record is from RNAcentral.